Molecule: unclassified non-coding RNA, 340 nt
Filed under: soil metagenome
Description: partial contains 5.8S ribosomal RNA, internal transcribed spacer 2, and large subunit ribosomal RNA
Rfam family: 5.8S ribosomal RNA (bases 1-120)
Source: RNAcentral
GAUGAAGAACGUAGCGAAAUGCGAUAAGUAAUGUGAAUUGCAGAGUUCAGUGAAUCAUCGAAUCUUUGAACGCAAAUUGCGCCCGUCAGUAUUCUGACGGGCAUGCCUGUCCGAGCGUCAUUUCAACCCUCAAGCACUGCUUGGCGUUGGCGGAUUGCGUGCCCUCGCGGCGCUGCAACCGCCCAAAUACAGUGGCGGUCCCGCUGCGGCUCCCUUUGCGUAGUAACUCACCUCGCACUGGACCGGGCGGCGGCCUGCCGUAAAACCCCAACUCACGAAAUGUUGACCUCGGAUCAGGUAGGAAUACCCGCUGAACUUAAGCAUAUCAAUAAGCGGAGGA